This 978-nucleotide long non-coding RNA is filed under the name Lupinus mutabilis. Its description in RNAcentral is "partial ncRNA". The record is from RNAcentral. Lineage: Eukaryota; Viridiplantae; Streptophyta; Magnoliopsida; Fabales; Fabaceae.
GGUAAAGCUACAGCAUUAAUAUUACUUUACAGAUUGGAUCCAUUUCUUAAUUGAAGUUGAAUAUUUGAACUUUGAAGAGAUGGCACAGUUGUUAUUUUUCCAGGCUGGGUGGAUCUCUAUAGGAUGAGAGAAAACGCAAAUUCAAUGAAGCCAUCGUUAACAUGCUCUAUCCCUCUCCACCUUCAUCUCCUCCACAACUUGAAAUUGAACCACUCAUCAAUGGGUCUACUUCUGAUGUUAUUUCAGGCACUUUGGAUGAUAAUGACAAUGACAAUGCCUCUACAAGUGGUGAAGAAGAACAGAGUUGUGAGACUGAGAAGCUGUCGAGGGCUCAACGAAAGAAGAUCCGUAAGAAGAAGCUAAAGGAAGAGGCAUUACGCCGAGGCAAAUUAAUUGGGCCCAUGUUGCCAAUUCCACAUGCAAUUACCGAGGAUCAUGUUUCCCAGCGUGCUCCACCUGUUCGAUCAAAUGCUUCUGAGAAAGAUAUUGGGUUAGGCGAUGAGACGGCGAGUGCUAGCUCCAACAAAACGAAGCGCCGGAGGAUGGCAAAAAGGCUAGCCAAACAAAACCAAAUAGCAUCUGCUCCGGAAAAUUGCACUCAAAGUUCCUGUGCGAGUUCUGUUGUUGUCCAGAAAGAAACACAUAUGUAAUUAAGUCUUUAACUGCUGUUGGGUAUGGAAAUUUGACAAGAUACUCAUUGCUAGUUACAAUCACAGAGUAGGGUAUGUAAUUUUGACUGCUGGGUAGCAAUGCUGCUAGUGAUCAAAAUUUCAAAUAUGUUUGAUGGCUGUACUACAAUAGAAAUCUUAGAUGCCACCUUCCAAAUGAUUGUUCCGCUAGAAAUUAGAAACUUGGUUGAUUGAUAGAAAAGGAAGAGGUAGUAGCAUACUUGCCUUUGGUUAGAAGGGUUCCCUGAGUUUAUUUACCUGUUUAGCUUGUUUGUAUGAAUCAUUAUGAAUGGUCCAAGAUGCAAGUUCC